AUUUCUAGAGAUGAAAGUUACUUCGGUACAUCGGUGACAGGUGGUGCAUGGUUGUCGUCAGCUCGUGUCGUGAGAUGUUGGGUUAAGUCCCGCAACGAGCGCAACCCCUAUUGUUAGUUGCCAUCAUUCAGUUGGGCACUCUAGCGAGACUGCCGGUAAUAAACCGGAGGAAGGUGGGGAUGACGUCAAAUCAUCAUGCCCCUUAUGACCUGGGCUACACACGUGCUACAAUGGUUGGUACAACGAGUUGCGAGUCGGUGACGGCGAGCUAAUCUCUUAAAGCCAAUCUCAGUUCGGAUUGUAGGCUGCAGCUCGCCUACAUGAAGUCGGAAUCGCUAGUAAUCGCGGAUCAGCACGCCGCGGUGAAUACGUUCCCGGGCCUU
Molecule: ribosomal RNA, 383 nt
Filed under: uncultured Streptococcus sp.
Lineage: Bacteria; Bacillati; Bacillota; Bacilli; Lactobacillales; Streptococcaceae
Description: bacterial SSU rRNA
Rfam family: Bacterial small subunit ribosomal RNA
Source: RNAcentral